GCGACUUUAACAGAAAUGGCGACAAAAUCGCUAUUGUUCCAAACCACGAUUUCAGAUCUGAAGCAUCUCCAAUGGCGUAGCAAUGCCAAUGCGCUCUGCCGCCUGACAUUCGCGCGACCUCCUCUUCUUCCUCAUCAUACUUCUCUUCUUCCUCAUUCUCCUCCUCCGCUGUACCGUCGUCUUCAUCUUCCUCAUUCUCCUCCUCCGCUGUACCGUCGUCUUCAUCUUCUUCCUCCUCCUCUGCUCCGACACCGUCUACGCACUCUAUUCUCUACUAUGUCCUCGAUGAACUCGCCGCAGGAGGAGGCCUCUGUCGAAACAGUGAGAAUGGCGAUAAGGGGGAGAGUGCAAGGUGUGUCGGAUCUAUCGGAAUUGGACGAUUGAUAAUGCGAAGGAGUUAGGGUUGAGAGGUUGGGUUCGGAACCGCCGGGAUGGAUCUGUGGAGGCGUUGUUUUCGGGAGAUGGAGCAGCGGUGUAGGAGAGGUCUUCCUGAUGCUAUGGUGACUGGAAUUCGGGCAUUUCCGCGCACGGAUGAUCCUGGGAAUGAAUUCGAGCGUAAGCCUACUGUGUGAAUGAAUGAAUCAGCGAUUCUGAUCAGUAAAGGAACCCAACUCCCAAAAGUAGCUGUCGGCGCAGGAAGGAUGUUGCCAAGGCAUGCAGUGCCAGCCAUCGAAGACUUCUCUAACGAAUUCUUCUACUUCAGGCAGAGGGCAAUCCAGUAGUGUUGUUCAGGGUUUAGGGAAACCAACAGGAUUACGAAUGCCUUCUCCCAAAAUCAGGUUCUUUGAUGGGGUGAAAUCAUCCCCUCGCACUCCCAAUGGCCACAAGCAAAGCGAGAAGUGUUGAGACUCCAAACAAGUAGAGGAUGUCAGCUUCUUCAGCAAGCUCAAAGCCUGAUUCGGCAAAGGCCGCAUCUCUUAAAAAGUCACAUGAUUCGCAGAGUGAGUGGGCAUUGGUGAGGAGGGGUGGGGUAUGUAUAUGCAUCACUCAUUCCGUAAUAUGUGCUGCAAUGCUCUCUGCUCUCUGCUCAAUUCGAUACAAAGGUAUUGCUGGAAUAAGCUUCAGCAUAUCGGCGGAUUUAAAGAAAAAAGCUUUCAGCAUAUCGGUGGAUUCAUAUUUCAAGGUACCUUGCUUUUAUUAUUUGAGAAAGUUGAUAUCAUAUUUGAAAAAAAAAAUGUGGCAAUUUGAAGCUGGUAUUACUCCCCCCACCAUGCAAAAAAAUUAGUGCAUUUUUCGCAAGGGAGGGAGUAAUAUUUUUUUGGGCUGGCUCGGGCUGUUUUAAAAUUCAAGCCCGAUAGGUUCGACCUAAUUUUGCAUUGGGCUUGAAAAUCCAACCAAGGCAUGGCCCGGUUUCAAAUUAUACCGGGCCAGGCCAGGCCAGCCCAGAUUUUUAAUAUUAGAUUUUAAAAAUAAUAUAUCAUUUUUUAUUAAAUAAUAAAUUAUAUUAAUCUAAAUUGAUAUAAUUAGGACAAAGUAUUUUAUUGAUAAUUAAGAAUUUAAACAUUAAUUAAUUAUUAAUUUUAUUAUAUAGUUAAUAUUAUAUUAAAAAAUAUUUUUACUUAGAAUAUUUUAAUCAAUUAGACCCUGCUAGGCACGUCAUAAUUUGCAUAGGCUUCAAACCAGUUUGGUUAUUCAACCAUACUGGGUUGGCCCGACCUAAAAAUAGUUUGGAACUAAUUUCUAGACCCAAAUCUUUAUUUGUUCGUGUCGAAUAUGGAUUUGAUAGUAGUAGACUCCACAUAAACUUUACCUACAAACUAAAUACACUUUAAAACAAAUAAGGAUAAAAUUUAGAAAUAAAAUUAAUACAUCCAAAUCCCGGGACCUAAACAUAAUUCUAUUAUUAUAUGUAAGAUGCUAAUGUAAAUGCAAUGCGAAAAUAUAAAAGAAAAACGACGAACUACUCCGUAAUAUAUUUUCGGUCAUCCGAUCAUCCGGCCGCUCCCUCUCCUAUGCAUCUAAAAAUAUUUAAAAUAGAUAUAAGUAUAUAUACAUAGGAAACAACAAAAUAAUAAUAAAAUCACUUACCUUGGGUUUGAAAUCGGUGUUGAAGGAUCUUUGCGGAUCCUCUCGUCUCCCAUAAGUUUUACCUAUAAAGUAAAAACACUAAAAAAGAAGUUAGUAUAAAAUUUAGAAACAAAAUGAAUGCAUACAAGUCCCGGGACGUAAAAAUAAUUAUAUUUCUAUAUGCAGGAUGCUAAAAUAAAUGCAAUGCAUAAAUGUAAAAGAAAAAAGACGAUAUACUCCUUAUUAUGCUUUCGGUCGUCCGAUCAUCCGGCCCCUCCAUCUCCUAUGCAUCUAAAAUGAUUUAAAAUAUAUAUUAGUAUAUAUGCAUAGGAAACAACAAAAUAAUAUUAAAAUCACUUACUUUUGAUUUGAAAUCGAGAUCGAAGGAUCUUUGCGGAUCCCCUAGUCUCCAUAUAAACUUUACCUACAAAUUAAAAGCACUUAAAAAUAAGUUAGUAUAAAAUAUAGAAGCAAAACGAAUGAAUGCAUGCAUGUCCCGGGACGGACGUAAAAAUGAAUCUAUUUAUAUAUGCAUAAUGCUAAAAUAAAUUAAAUGCAUAAAUGUAAAAAGAAGGGGACGAAUUACUCCCUAUGAUGUAUUCGGUCGUCCGAUCAUCCGGUCACUCCCUGUCGUAUGCAUCUAAAAAGAUUUAAAAUAGAUAUUAAUAUAUAUCUGCAUAGGAAACAACAAAAUAAUAUUAAAAUUACUUACCUUGGAUUUGAAAUCGAGAUUGAAGGAUCUUUGUGGUUUCCAUAAUCUCCCCAUAAACUUUACCUACAAACUAAAAACACUAAAAAAGUAAGUUAGUAUAAAAUAUAGAAAAAAAAUUAAUGCAUGCAUGUCCCGGGACUUAAAAAUAAAUCUAUUUCUAUAUGCAUAAUGAUAAAAUAAAUUAAAUGCAUAAAUGUAAAAGAAAAGGGACGAAUUACUCCCUAUGAUGUAUUCGGUCGUCCGAUCAUCCGGUCACUCCCUCUCGUAUGCAUCUAAACAGAUUUAAAAUAGAUAUUAGUAUAUAUAUGCAUAGGAAACAACAAAAUAAUAUUAAAAUUACUUACCUUGGAUUUGAAAUCGAGAUUGAAGGAUCUUUGUGCUUUCCAUAAUCUCCCCAUAAGCUUUACCUACAAGCUAAAAACACUAAAAAAGUAAGUUAGUAGAAACAAAAUUUAAUGCAUGCAUGUCCCGGGACUUAAAAUAAAAUCUAUUUCUAUAUGCAUAAUGCUAAAAUAAAUUAAAUGCAUAAAUGUAAAGAGAAGGGAACGAAUUACUCCCUAUGAUGUAUUCGGUUGUCCGAUCAUCCGGGCACUCCCUCUUGUAUGCAUCUAAAAAUAUUUAAAAUAGAUAUUAGUAUAUAUAUGAAUAGGAAACCAUAAACUAAUAUUAAAAUCACUUACCUUGGAUUUGAAAUCUAGAUCGAAGGAUCUUUGCGCUUCCUCUAAUCUCCCCAUAAGCUUUACCUACAAACUAAAAACACUAAAAACGUAAGUUAGUAUAAAAUAUAGAAACAAAAAUGCAUGCAUGUCCCGGGACUUAAAAAUAAAUCUAUUUCUAUAUGCAUAAUGAUAAAAUAAAUUAAAUGCAUAAAUGUAAAAGAAAAGGGACGAAUUACUCCCUAUGAUGUAUUCGGUCGUCCGAUCAUCCGGUCACUUCCUCUCGUAUGCAUCUAAAAAGAUUUAAAAUAGAUAUUAGUAUAUAUAUGAAUAGGAAACCAUAAACUAAUAUUAAAAUCACUUACCUUGGAUUUGAAAUCGAGAUCGAAGGAUCUUUGCGGAUCCUCUCGUCUCCACAUACGCUUUACCUACAAACUAAAAACACUAAAAAAGUAAGUUAGUACAAAAUAUAGAAACAAAAUUAAUGCAUGCAUGUCCCGGGACUUAAAAAUAAAUCUAUUUCUAUAUGCAUAAUGCUAAAAUAAAUUAAAUGCAUAAAUGUAAAAAGAAGGGGACGAAUUACUCCCUAUCAUGUAUUCGGUCGUCCGAUCAUCCGGUCACUCCCUCUCGUAUGCAUCUAAAAAGAUUUAAAAUAGAUAUUAGUAUAUAUAUGCAUAGGAAACAACAAAAUAAUAUUAAAAUUACUUACCUUGGAUUUGAAAUCGAGAUUGAAGGAUCUUUGUGCUUUCCAUAAUCUCCCCAUAAGCUUUACCUACAAACUAAAAACACUAAAAAAGUAAGUUAGUAUAAAAUAUAGAAACAAAAUUUAAUGCAUGCAUGUCCCGGGACUUAAAAUAAAAUCUAUUUCUAUAUGCAUAAUGCUAAAAUAAAUUAAAUGCAUAAAUGUAAAGAGAAGGGGACGAAUUACUCCCUAUGAUGUAUUCGGUUGUUCGAUCAUCCGGGCACUCCCUCUUGUAUGCAUCUAAAAAGAUUUAAAAUAGAUAUUAGUAUAUAUAUGCAUAGGAAACCAUAAACUAAUAUUAAAAUCACUUACCUUGGAUUUGAAAUCUAGAUCGAAGGAUCUUUGCGCUUCCUCUAAUCUCCCCAUAAGCUUUACCUACAAACUAAAAACACUAAAAAAGUAAGUUAGUAUAAAAUAUAGAAACAAAAUUAAUGCAUGCAUGUCCCGGGACUUAAAAAUAAAUCUAUAUCUAUAUGCAUAAUGCUAAAAUAAAUUAAAUGCAUUAAUGUAAAAAGAAGGGGUCGAAUUACUCCCUAUGAUGUAUUCGGUCGUCCGAUCAUGCGGCCACUCCCUCUCGUAUGCUUCUAAAAAGAUUUAAAAUAGAUAUUAGCAUAUAUAUGCAUAAAAAACCAUAAACUAAUAUUAAAAUCACUUACUUUGGAUUUGAAAUCUAGAUCGAAGGAUCUUUGCGCUUCCUCUAAUCUCCCCAUAAGCUUUACCUACAAACUAAAAACACUAAAAAAGUAAGUUAGUAUAAAAUAUAGAAACAAAAUUAAUGCAUGCAUAUCCCGGGACUUAAAAAUAAAUCUAUUUCUAUAUGCAUGAUGCUAAAAUAAAUUAAAUGCAUAAAUGUAAAAAGAAGGGGACGAAUUACUCCCUAUGAUGUAUUCGGUCGUCCGAUCAUCCGGCCACUCCCUCUCGUAUGCAUCUAAAAAGAUUUAAAAUAGAUAUUAGUAUAUAUAUGAAUAGGAAACCAUAAACUAAUAUUAAAAUCACUUACCUUGGAUUUGAAAUCUAGAUCGAAUGAUCUUUGCGCUUCCUCUAAUCUCCCCGUAAGCUUUACCUACAAACUAAAAACACUAAAAAAGUAAGUUAGUAUAAAAUAUAGAAACAAAAUUAAUGCAUGCAUGUCCCGGGACUUAAAAGUAAAUCUAUUUCUAUAUGCAUGAUGCUAAAAUAAAUUAAAUGCAUAAAUGUAAAAAGAAGGGGGCGAAUUACUCCCUAUGAUGUAUUCGGUCGUCCGGCCACUCCCUCUCGUAUGCAUCUAAAAAGAUUUAAAAUAGAUAUUAGUAUAUAUAUGCAUAGGAAACCAUAAACUAAUAUUAAAAUCACUUACCUUGGAUUUGAAAUCGAGAUCGAAGGAUCUUUGCGGAUCCUCUCGUCUCCACAUACGCUUUACCUACAAACUAAAAACACUAAAAAAGUAAGUUAGUACAAAAUAUAGAAACAAAAUUAAUGCAUGCAUGUCCCGGGACUUAAAAAUAAAUCUAUUUCUAUAUGCAUAAUGCUAAAAUAAAUUAAAUGCAUAAAUGUAAAAAGAAGGGGACGAAUUACUCCCUAUCAUGUAUUCGGUCGUCCGAUCAUCCGGCCACUCCCUCUCGUAUGCAUCUAAAAAGAUUUAAAAUAGAUAUUAGUACAUAUAUGCAUAGGAAACAACAAAGUAAUAUUAAAAUCACUUACCUUGGAUUUGAAAUCUAGAUCGAAAGAUCUUUGCGCUUCCUGUAAUCUCCCCAUAAGCUUUACCUACAAACUAAAAACACUAAAAAAGUAAGUUAGUAUAAAAUAUAGAAACAAAAUUAAUGCAUGCAUGUCCCGGGACUUAAAAAUAAAUCUAUUUCUAUAUGCAUAAUGCUAAAAUAAAUUUAAUGCAUAAAUGUAAAAAGAAGGGGUCGAAUUAUUCCCUAUAAUGUAUUCGGUCGUCCGAUUAUCCGGCCGCUCCCUCUCGAAUGCAUCUAAAAAGAUUUAAAAUAGAUAUUAGUAUAUAUAUAUAGGAAACAACAAAAUAAUAUUAAAAUCACUUACCUAUGAUUUGAAAUCGAGAUCGAAGAAUCUUUUCGGAUCCCCUCGUCUCCACAUAAGCUUUACCUACAAAUUAAAAACACUUAAAAAUAAGUUAGUAUAAAAUAUAGAAACAAAACUAAUGCAUGCAUGUCCCGGGACGGACGUAAAAAUAAAUCUAUUUCUAUAUGCAUAAUGCUAAAUUAAAUUAAAUGCAUAAAUGUAAAAGAAAAGGGACGAAUUACUCCCUACGGUUGUCCGAUCAUCCGGCCGCUCCCUCUCUCGUAUGCAUCUAAAAAUAUUUAAAAUAGAUAUUAGCAUAUAUGUAUAGGAAACAACAAAAUAAUAUUAAAAUCACUUACCUUGGAUUUGAAAUCGAGAUCGAAGGAUCUUUGCGGAUCCACUCGUCUCCACAUAAGCUUUACCUACAAAUUAAAAACACUUAAAAAUAAGUUAGUAUAUAAUAUAGAAACAAAAUUAAUGCAUGCAUGUCCCGGGACGGACGUAAAAAUAAAUCUAUUUCUAUAUGCAUAAUGCUAAAUUAAAUUAAAUGCAUAAAUGUAAAAGGAAAGGGACGAAUUACUCCCUACGGUCAUCCGAUCAUCCGGCCACUCCCUCGUCUCCACAUAAGCUUUACCUACAAAUAAAAAACACUUAAAAAUAAGUUAGUAUAAAAUAUAGAAACAAAAUCAAUGCAUGCAUGUCCCGGGACGGACGUAAAAAUAAAUCUAUUUCUAUAUGCAUAAUGCUAAAUUAAAUUAAAUGCAUAAAUGUAAAAGGAAAGGGACGAAUUACUCCCUACGGUUGUCCGAUCAUCCGGCCGCUCCCUCUCUCGUAUGCAUCUAAAAAUAUUUAAAAUAGAUAUUAGCAUAUAUGUAUAGGAAACAACAAAAUAAUAUUAAAAUCACUUACCUUGGAUUUGAAAUCGAGAUCGAAGGAUCUUUGCGGAUCCACUCGUCUCCACAUAAGCUUUACCUACAAAUUAAAAACACUUAAAAAUAAGUUAGUAUAUAAUAUAGAAACAAAAUUAAUGCAUGCAUGUCCCGGGACGGACGUAAAAAUAAAUCUAUUUCUAUAUGCAUAAUGCUAAAUUAAAUUAAAUGCAUAAAUGUAAAAGGAAAGGGACGAAUUACUCCCUACGGUCGUCCGAUCAUCCGGCCACUCCCUCGUCUCCACAUAAGCUUUACCUACAAAUAAAAAACACUUAAAAAUAAGUUAGUAUAAAAUAUAGAAACAAAAUCAAUGCAUGCAUGUCCCGGGACGGACGUAAAAAUAAAUCUAUUUCUAUAUGCAUAAUGUUAAAUUAAAUUAAAUGCAUAAAUGUAAAAGGAAAGGGACGAAUUACUCCCUACGGUCGUCCGAUCAUCCGUCCACUCCCUCGUCUCCACAUAAGCUUUACCUACAAAUUAAAAACACUUAAAAAUAAGUUAGUAUAAAAUAUAGAAACAAAAUUAAUGCAUGCAUGUCCCGGGACGGACGUAAAAAUAAAUCUAUUUCUAUAUGCAUAAUGCUAAAUUAAAUUAAAUGCAUAAAUGUAAAAGGAAAGGGACGAAUUACUCCCUACGGUCGUCCGAUCAUCCGGCCACUCCCUCGUCUCCACAUAAGCUUUACCUACAAAUAAAAAACACUUAAAAAUAAGUUAGUAUAAAAUAUAGAAACAAAAUCAAUGCAUGCAUGUCCCGGGACGGACGUAAAAAUAAAUCUAUUUCUAUAUGCAUAAUGCUAAAUUAAAUUAAAUGCAUAAAUGUAAAUGGAAAGGGACGAAUUACUCCCUACGGUCGUCCGAUCAUCCGGCCACUCCCUCGUCUCCACAUAAGCUUUACCUACAAAUUAAAAACACUUAAAAAUAAGUUAGUAUAAAAUAUAGAAACAAAAUUAAUGCAUGCAUGUCCCGGGACGGACGUAAAAAUAAAUCUAUUGCUAUAUGCAUAAUGCUAAAUUAAAUUAAAUGCAUAAAUGUAAAAGGAAAGGGACGAAUUACUCCCUACGGUCGUCCGAUCAUCCGGCCACUCCCUCGUCUCCACAUAAGCUUUACCUACAAAUAAAAAACACUUAAAAAUAAGUUAGUAUAAAAUAUAGAAACAAAAUCAAUGCAUGCAUGUCCCGGGACGGACGUAAAAAUAAAUCUAUUUCUAUAUGCAUAAUGCUAAAUUAAAUUAAAUGCAUAAAUGUAAAAGGAAGGGACGAAUUACUCCCUACGGUCGUCCGAUCAUCCGGCCACUCCCUCGUCUCCACAUAAGCUUACCUACAAAUUAAAAACACUUAAAAAUAAGUUAGUAUAAAAUAUAGAAACAAAAUUAAUGCAUGCAUGUCCCGGGACGGACGUAAAAAUAAAUCUAUUUCUAUAUGCAUAAUGCUAAAUUAAAUUAAAUGCAUAAAUGUAAAAGGAAAGGGACGAAUUACUCCCUACGGUCGUCCGAUCAUCCGGCCACUCCCUCGUCUCCACAUAAGCUUUACCUACAAAUUAAAAACACUUAAAGAUAAGUUAGUAUAAAAUAUAGAAACAAAAUUAAUGCAUGCAUGUCCCGGGACGGACGUAAAAAUAAAUCUAUUUCUAUAUGCAUAAUACUAAAUUAAAUUAAAUGCAUAAUUGUAAAAGGAAAGGGACGAGUUACUCCCUACGGCUGUCCGAUCAUCCGGCCACUCCCUCUCGUAUGCAUCUAAAAAGAUUUAAAAUAGAUAUUAGUAUAUAUGUAUAGUAAACAACAAAAUAAUAUUAAAAUCACUUACCUUGGAUUUGAAAUCGAGAUCGAAGGAUCUUUUCGCUAUCGCCAUCGCCUUGGGUGCUGCUGUCCGUUAGGAUCAUCCCACCAUUUUUAUUGACGUGUUUCAGCAGCUUCUUGGACAGUCUCUUCUUUGGGAAGACAUGUACAUAUGGGGGUAGAAGGGUCUCUUGUGUCUCCUACAAAAUAAGCACACAACAUCAUACAUCAUAACCAAGAAAGUUCCAAGAUUGGAUUCUAAAAUUUUCCAAGAAAAGUGCCAAAGUUCCAAGAUUGGAUUCCAAAAUUUUCCAAGAAAAGUUCCAAGAUUGGAUUCUAAAAUUUU
Andrographis paniculata is the source of this 9163-nucleotide RNA transcript. RefSeq lists it as uncharacterized. The record is from RefSeq and is a predicted model, not a curated record. NCBI's taxonomy places the organism in Eukaryota, Viridiplantae, Streptophyta, Magnoliopsida, Lamiales, Acanthaceae. The transcript has 6 exons.